ACCUCACCAGGCCCGGACACCGGAAGGUUGACAGAUUGAGAGCUCUUUCUUGAUUCGGUGGGUGGUGGUGCAUGGCCGUUCUUAGUUGGUGGAGCGAUUUGUCUGGUUAAUUCCGAUAAACGAACGAGACUCUAGCCUGCUAACUAGGCGAUUUCCGGUACCCACAAUAGUGUUACCGGCGAUUCAAUUUCUUCUUAGAGGGACAGGCGGCUCCUAGCCGCACGAGACUGAGCAAUAACAGGUCUGUGAUGCCCUUAGAUGUCCUGGGCCGCACGCGCGCUACACUGAAGGAAUCAGCGUGUCUUCCCUGGCCGA
RNAcentral lists this ribosomal RNA (315 nucleotides) under Vinpietri cahatianae. RNAcentral describes it as "SSU rRNA". It matches the Rfam family "Eukaryotic small subunit ribosomal RNA", at positions 1212 to 1536 of the family's 1831-position model. Lineage: Eukaryota; Metazoa; Arthropoda; Insecta; Hemiptera; Cercopidae. The record is from RNAcentral.